AGUGUAUAGUGUAGAGUGUAUAGUGUAUAGUGUAUAGUGUAGAGUGUAUAGUGUAGAGUGUAUAGUGUAUAGUGUAUAGUGUAGAGUGUAUAGUGUAGAGUGUAUAGUGUAGAGUGUAUAGUGUAGAGUGUAUAGUGUAGAGUGUAUAGUGUAGAGUGUAUAGUGUAGAGUGUAUAGUGUAGAGUGUAGAGUGUAUAGUGUAGAGUGUAUAGUGUAGAGUGUAUAGUGUAGAGUGUAUAGUGUAUAGUGUAGAGUGUAUAGUGUAGAGUGUAUAGUGUAGAGUGUAUAGUGUAGAGUGUAUAGUGUAUAGUGUAGAGUGUAUAGUGUAGAGUGUAUAGUGUAGAGUGUAUAGUGUAGAGUGUAUAGUGUAGAGUGUAUAGUGUAGAGUGUAUAGUGUAGAGUGUAUAGUGUAGAGUGUAUAGUGUAGAGUGUAUAGUGUAUAGUGUAUAGUGUAGAGUGUAUAGUGUAUAGUGUAGAGUGUAUAGUGUAUAGUGUAGAGUGUAUAGUGUAUAGUGUAUAGUGUAUAGUGUAUAGUGUAGAGUGUAUAGUGUAUAGUGUAGAGUGUAUAGUGUAUAGUGUAGAGUGUAUAGUGUAGAGUGUAUAGUGUAGAGUGUAUAGUGUAGA
Molecule: long non-coding RNA, 624 nt
Organism: Oncorhynchus tshawytscha (Chinook salmon)
Lineage: Eukaryota; Metazoa; Chordata; Actinopteri; Salmoniformes; Salmonidae
Source: Ensembl